AGCGAACGCUGGCGGCGUGCUUAACACAUGCAAGUCGAGUGCGCAGUUUCCUGUAGCAAUACAGGAAAUGGGCGCACGGCGCACGGGUGCGUAACACGUGGGCAAUCUACCCUUUGAUGGGGAAUAACCCGCCGAAAGGCGGGCUAAUACCGCAUAACAUCCCAGUCGCUUCGGUGAUAGGGAUCAAAGCCCGCAAGGGCGUCAUUGGAGGAACCCGCGGCCGAUUAGCUAGUUGGUGAGGUAAUGGCUCACCAAGGCUUGGAUCGGUAGCCGGUCUGAGAGGACGAUCGGCCACACUGGAACUGAGACACGGUCCAGACUCCUACGGGAGGCAGCAGUGGGGAAUCUUGCGCAAUGGGCGAAAGCCUGACGCAGCGACGCCGCGUGGGGGAUGAAGCUUCUCGGAGUGUAAACCCCUUUCGACCCGGACGAAUGACCCGCAAGGGUUUGACGGUACGGGGAGAAGAAGCCCCGGCUAACUACGUGCCAGCAGCCGCGGUAAGACGUAGGGGGCCG
RNAcentral lists this ribosomal RNA (516 nucleotides) under uncultured bacterium. Its description in RNAcentral is "bacterial SSU rRNA". It matches the Rfam family "Bacterial small subunit ribosomal RNA", at positions 29 to 537 of the family's 1533-position model. The record is from RNAcentral.